Molecule: long non-coding RNA, 296 nt
Filed under: Nicotiana benthamiana
Lineage: Eukaryota; Viridiplantae; Streptophyta; Magnoliopsida; Solanales; Solanaceae
Description: long non-coding RNA (NBEN_LNC029522)
Source: RNAcentral
UCGAUUAUGCAAUUUAAGGAAUCAAUUAUUAAACAAAACUGCAUAAUGAACAUAAACCAUAAGCAAUCGAUUAGUGAUACUGCUAAUCGAUUUUCAGCACAGUAAAAUAAUCGAUUAUUUGCUUGGAGCAAUCGAUUGUUCUGUGCCAAAACUUUAUAAUUCCCCCUAUCUUUUAGGGCGAUACCUGCAAAAUAGAAUUAAUCGUCUCCGACGCUCAAGUCAGUAAUUUGUAAAGAAGUAAUAACUUAAACUAGUGUUGUCGAGUGAGAACGUGAGCUCUUAAGAGGUGUGUCCUA